Molecule: ribosomal RNA, 433 nt
Filed under: uncultured bacterium
Lineage: Bacteria
Description: partial 16S ribosomal RNA
Rfam family: Bacterial small subunit ribosomal RNA
Source: RNAcentral
AACGAACGCUGGCGGCAUGCCUAACACAUGCAAGUCGAACGAGACCUUCGGGUCUAGUGGCGCACGGGUGCGUAACGCGUGGGAACCUGCCCUUAGGUUCGGAAUAACUCCCCGAAAGGGGUGUUAAUACCGGAUAAUGUCUUCGGACCAAAGAGUUAUCGCCUUUGGAUGGGCCCGCGUUGGAUUAGCUAGUUGGUAGGGUAAAAGCCUACCAAGGCGACGAUCCAUAGCUGGUCUGAGAGGAUGAUCAGCCACACUGGGACUGAGACACGGCCCAGACUCCUACGGGAGGCAGCAGUGGGGAAUAUUGGACAAUGGGCGAAAGCCUGAUCCAGCAAUGCCGCGUGAGUGAUGAAGGCCUUAGGGUUGUAAAGCUCUUUUACCCGGGAUGAUAAUGACAGUACCGGGAGAAUAAGCUCCGGCUAACUCCGUG